UGCUGUAUAUAACCUGUUGAGGAUAUUUAUAGCAGGCAGGAGGCAGGCCUAGUGUGUUAUUGACAGGUGACUUUAGAGAAUGUACAUUAAGGAACAAUUGUCCUCCAAAAGAGAGCCAAGCAACUGCUCUGGAGCCUCCUAGGCUGACUCUGCUGGAGGGUGAGACAAGCAGAUUCCCAUUGCAGCACUGGUCCCUGGGGUCCCCUGAACAGCUGUGCUCUCCACCCUUGUAUUGGUGAGUGGAUCUUGACUACAUCAGCCGUAAGCCUAGAAGAGAGCUGGAUCGAGGCGUUUUUAAUAAUUCGAGUUGGGAAGACCCGGAUGGUUCAUCAAAAUGAUGGUGUUGAGCACCCGGGAGGCAGACAUUGGGUAUUUGUUCACAAUUUUGCACCUGUAAGAAAAUGUUCCUUUAUAACUUUCAAGGAUUGCCGUGAGCAUCUUUGGGGCCUUUUCAUUCAUGUACAAGUUUCAUUCAUUACUAUUCAACUUGGUAGACUUGGUGAAAAACGUAAAAGCAUUCUGUAUUUGGAUCAGUCUUGGGAACUAAAUUUGUCGUGAAUUGGGGCCUGUCACAGAUUGCCUCCAGUGUGCAUCCUCCACGCAGACCCUCCUUGCUCAGUCUCCCUCUGGCGCCCAUGGGGAAGCCGUGCUGUGGUUGGCAGUGCGGCCAUCUGGGCUGCCGCAACGUGGCAGGGCACCGUCCAGCAAGACUGCCCCUUAGUGCAGGGCUAAGCAAGGAAAAGAAGAAGCCCAAAAAAGUGGGUUCUUUUUGAUACUUGU
RNAcentral lists this long non-coding RNA (780 nucleotides) under Pan troglodytes (chimpanzee). Its description in RNAcentral is "long non-coding RNA NONPTRT004138". Lineage: Eukaryota; Metazoa; Chordata; Mammalia; Primates; Hominidae. The record is from RNAcentral.